Long non-coding RNA from Lethenteron reissneri (Far Eastern brook lamprey), 764 nucleotides. RefSeq lists it as uncharacterized. The record is from RefSeq and is a predicted model, not a curated record. Lineage: Eukaryota; Metazoa; Chordata; Hyperoartia; Petromyzontiformes; Petromyzontidae.
GCACUCCCUCGGCACAGCACGAAAAGCCGCGCGACUCCAACUCGCAGUCAGUCCUCCCAGCUCCCCUGAAGACUCCACUAACAAGCUGCUACAGGCCAUCAGUAAGUCCAAUGUGUAUGGCCAAUACAAGUUAUUGGCUGAGGCCCUAUACCUGUGCGAGGAGCUGGUGGAGAUGCUGGCCAUGCUGUCUGGGUGCUGGCCCGUGCACAGGAAGAUUGCAACUUCUUAAAGUGGUGGUGGCGGUGACGUUGGUCGGAGCCAUCCUCCUCCUCCCUGAUUUGCCAUACACAUCGAGCUUGGAAAAAGAGACCAGCAUUGGUACAAAGUUGCCACGUGGGAAAUCACUGCUGUCGCCUGGCAAUGUCAGUGCCUCGAAUAAAGAGGCAGGGGCAAUGCACACACACAAGGAUUGGGGCAUUAUUCAAAGUGACUGCGUGGCCAAUCACGACCUCAUAGACACGGAUUGGUUUAAAUCUGUAGGUGACCGAUUCAAAGGUAAUUUUAGUACUCACUCGUUUGUCCACUUUUCCAUUGACUCACUCAUUCACUCACCCACUUCUUACUCAACCAUUUACUCACUCACCCAGUCACCCACUCAAUCACUCACCCUAUCACUCACACACCAACUCACACAAUCACGAAAGCAACAACAGCUUCCAUUCGCCACUAAGUGGCGUUGAUGUCACCAUGGCACUUGUACCAGAGCAGGUGAAUUCCGAGGCCACGUAAAGUGUCGAAGGCUCGCUGACAGGAGGUCACAGGAU